GGUUAUCUGCUCAUGAACUUAAUUGCCGCACUUUAUCUGUGCUAAGGUAGCAUAAUCAUUCGUUUUUUAAUUGAAAACUAGAACAAACGAUUAAACAUUUUAAUUAUUUUCUUACUUUUAAUAAUUAAAUUUAUCUUAUAUGUAAUAAGACAUAUAUUAAAAAGAAAGACGAUGAGACCCUAUUGAACUUAACUAAAGUUAAACUGGGGCAGUUAAUCAAUUAUUAUUUUAAUUACACAAAUUAAACAAAAGACCUAAUAUAAUUAAUUAAAUAAUCAACGUUACCAUAGGGAUAACAGCAUAAUAUUUAUCUAAAGCUCUUAUAUAAACAAAAGUUUAUGACCUCGAUGUUGAAUUAAUUAUACUUAUUUAAGCAAGAUUAAACAUAAGAAAGUCUGUUCGACUUAUAAAAAUUUACAUGAUCUGAGUUCAAACCGGAGAA
Molecule: ribosomal RNA, 442 nt
Filed under: Drassyllus biglobosus
Lineage: Eukaryota; Metazoa; Arthropoda; Arachnida; Araneae; Gnaphosidae
Description: partial 16S ribosomal RNA
Source: RNAcentral